CACGUAGGGUGCGAGCGUUGUCCGGAUUUAUUGGGCGUAAAGAGCGUGUAGGCGGCCAGGUAGGUCUGGUGUGAAAACUCGAGGCUUAACCUCGAGAUGUCAUCGGAAACCAUCUGGCUAGAGUCCGGAAGAGGAGAGUGGAAUUCCUGGUGUAGCGGUGAAAUGCGCAGAUAUCAGGAAGAACACCAGUGGCGAAGGCGGCUCACUGGCCCGGUACUGACGCUGAGGUGCGAAAGCGUGGGGAGCAAACAGG
This 253-nucleotide ribosomal RNA is filed under the name uncultured bacterium. RNAcentral's name for it is "partial 16S ribosomal RNA". It matches the Rfam family "Bacterial small subunit ribosomal RNA", at positions 524 to 776 of the family's 1533-position model. The record is from RNAcentral.